GUGCCAGCAGCCGCGGUAAUACGUAGGGUGCGAGCGUUAAUCGGAAUUACUGGGCGUAAAGCGUGCGCAGGCGGUUUUGUAAGACAGAUGUGAAAUCCCCGGGCUUAACCUGGGAACUGCGUUUGUGACUGCAAGGCUAGAGUACGGCAGAGGGGGGUGGAAUUCCACGUGUAGCAGGGAAAUGCGUAGAGAUGUGGAGGAACACCGAUGGCGAAGGCAGCCCCCUGGGCCUGUACUGACGCGCAUGCACGAAAGCGUGGGGGGCAAACAGGAUUAGGUACCCGGGAAGGUCAAGCCCUAA
This 301-nucleotide ribosomal RNA is filed under the name uncultured bacterium. Its description in RNAcentral is "bacterial SSU rRNA". It matches the Rfam family "Bacterial small subunit ribosomal RNA", at positions 505 to 805 of the family's 1533-position model. The record is from RNAcentral.